GAUGAACGCUGGCGGCGUGCCUAAUACAUGCAAGUCGAGCGAACAGAUGAGGAGCUUGCUCCUCUGACGUUAGCGGCGGACGGGUGAGUAACACGUGGAUAACCUACCUAUAAGACUGGGAUAACUUCGGGAAACCGGAGCUAAUACCGGAUAAUAUAUUGAACCGCAUGGUUCAAUAGUGAAAGACGGUUUUGCUGUCACUUAUAGAUGGAUCCGCGCCGCAUUAGCUAGUUGUUAAGUUAACGGCUUACCAAGGCAACGAUGCGUAGCCGACCUGAGAGGGUGAUCGGCCACACUGGAGCUGGGACACGGUCCAGACUCCUACGGGAGGCAGCAGUAGGGAAUCUUCCGCAAUGGGCGAAAGCCUGACGGAGCAACGCCGCGUGAGUGAUGAAGGUCUUCGGAUCGUAAAACUCUGUUAUUAGGGAAGAACAAAUGUGUAAGUAACUAUGCACGUCUUGACGGUACCUAAUCAGAAAGCAACGGCUAACUACGUG
RNAcentral lists this ribosomal RNA (497 nucleotides) under uncultured bacterium. Its description in RNAcentral is "partial 16S ribosomal RNA". It matches the Rfam family "Bacterial small subunit ribosomal RNA", at positions 28 to 507 of the family's 1533-position model. The record is from RNAcentral.